Molecule: ribosomal RNA, 451 nt
Filed under: uncultured bacterium
Lineage: Bacteria
Description: partial 16S ribosomal RNA
Rfam family: Bacterial small subunit ribosomal RNA
Source: RNAcentral
GUGGGGAAUAUUGGACAAUGGGGGGAACCCUGAUCCAGCCAUGCCGCGUGUGUGAAGAAGGCCUUUUGGUUGUAAAGCACUUUAAGUGGGGAGGAGGCUUACCUGGUUAAUACCUGGGCUAAGUGGACGUUACCCACAGAAUAAGCACCGGCUAACUCUGUGCCAGCAGCCGCGGUAAUACAGAGGGUGCGAGCGUUAAUCGGAUUUACUGGGCGUAAAGCGCGCGUAGGUGGUUAAUUAAGUCAAAUGUGAAAUCCCCGAGCUUAACUUGGGAAUUGCAUUCGAUACUGGUUAGCUAGAGUAUGGGAGAGGAUGGUAGAAUUCCAGGUGUAGCGGUGAAAUGCGUAGAGAUCUGGAAGAAUACCGAUGGCGAAGGCAGCCAUCUGGCCUAAUACUGACACUGAGGUGCGAAAGCAUGGGGAGCAAACAGGAUUAGAAACCCGGGUAGUCC